RNAcentral lists this ribosomal RNA (301 nucleotides) under uncultured bacterium. RNAcentral describes it as "partial 16S ribosomal RNA". It matches the Rfam family "Bacterial small subunit ribosomal RNA", at positions 509 to 807 of the family's 1533-position model. The record is from RNAcentral.
CAGUCGCCGCGGUAAUACGUAGGGUGCGAGCGUUAAUCGGAAUUACUGGGCGUAAAGCGUGCGCAGGCGGUUCGUUAAGACAGAUGUGAAAUCCCCGGGCUCAACCUGGGAACUGCAUUUGUGACUGGCAAGCUAGAGUGUGGCAGAGGGGGGUGGAAUUCCGCGUGUAGCAGUGAAAUGCGUAGAUAUGCGGAGGAACACCGAUGGCGAAGGCAGCCCCCUGGGCCAACACUGACGCUCAUGCACGAAAGCGUGGGGAGCGAACAGGAUUAGAUACCCCCGUAGUCCCUGUCUCUUAUAC